CCUCACCGGCGCGAGCCUGGGGAGGCGAGGGACUUUUGCCCGAGUCAAAGCCAUCACCGCCCAGCAGUCUCACCAAGCACUUUGCAAGUUGCCUAAAGGAAAUGCACUGGUGGAGCCAAGUGGUGGAUGGAAGCUUCAUGAUCCCAUUAGAGACCCAGCAUCCUGUCUCUCCACUCCACCGUUUUCAGCAGAUAUCUUCUAUUCUUAAAAUCACUUCCUGAGGGGAAACAAAGGAAAAGACAUGCUGGCUCUUUCUGCUCCUUUCCUUAUCUGGUUCCCUGCCAGAAAGUGCCUUAGAUUUGUGGCAAGGCAAGUGCCCUCACUUUGGGCCAACCCUGUUUGGCUGGGUGUUCUGCAACCCUCCCAGGCCAGUGAUAAUGUAAUAGGGUGGUCCCCAGAAACGGGGGAGAUUCCAGGUUUCCUGCCCCACCCAAAAGGAGAGUGGAACUGAGCAGGGAGGAGAAGAAGCUGCAGAGGAGACUGAGGAAGGAAGGAAGCAGGAUGGAGAGCCAGGAGACCUGGAGGAGGCACAUGGAACCGAGAGACACAUGAAGAAACUGCGCUUGCCUUUUGGUCGUGGACUGGGUGACACAGAUGUGGGUGAGAGACCUGAGGGGAGGUGACAGUGGUGGUUUUUGUCUUGAUUUUGAUUUUGCUCUUUUCCCUCCAGACUUGUCUGGUUGUUUCUGAUCCUUUUCUGUGGGUCCCCACUCUAAGAUGCUUUAGACUUGUGGCAGGCUUUGGGGCCUUGCUCUGGGCCAAUCCCAUUUGGAUGGAUUUUUACCCACAAGGGGACGGGUAAGUUUGGGUGCUUGAUUUAGAAACUAGAUUCUUGGCUUUUCCUGUAUUGUUUCCUAAUUGUAUUAAAUUUCCUUCCCAUUAAAGUCUCAUAUGUUUUGUGUUGAUGCGGUGGAUGGCAGAACCCAUUUAGAGUAGGCAGGUUU
Talpa occidentalis (Iberian mole) is the source of this 944-nucleotide long non-coding RNA. RefSeq lists it as uncharacterized. The record is from RefSeq and is a predicted model, not a curated record. NCBI's taxonomy places the organism in Eukaryota, Metazoa, Chordata, Mammalia, Eulipotyphla, Talpidae. The transcript has 4 exons.